Molecule: ribosomal RNA, 253 nt
Filed under: uncultured bacterium
Lineage: Bacteria
Description: partial 16S ribosomal RNA
Rfam family: Bacterial small subunit ribosomal RNA
Source: RNAcentral
UACGUAGGGUGCAAGCGUUAAUCGGAAUUACUGGGCGUAAAGCGUGCGCAGGCGGUUAUGUAAGACAGGUGUGAAAUCCCAGGGCUUAACCUUGGAACUGCAUUUGUGACUGCAUAGCUAGAGUUUGUCAGAGGGGGGUGGAAUUCCACGUGUAGCAGUGAAAUGCGUAGAUAUGUGGAGGAACACCGAUGGCGAAGGCAGCCCCCUGGGAUGUGACUGACGCUCAUGUACGAAAGCGUGGGGAGCAAACAGG